GAUGAACGCUGGCGGCGUGCCUAAUACAUGCCAGUCGAGCGGACGGACGAGAAGCUUGCUUCGCUGAUGUUAGCGGCGGACGGGUGAGUAACACGUGGAUACCCUGCCUAUAAGACUGGGAUAACUUCGGGAAACCGGAGCUAAUACCGGAUGAUAUUUUGAACCGCAGGGUUCAAAAGUGAAAGACGGUCUUGCUGUCACUUAUAGAUGGAUCCGCGCUGCAUUAGCUAGUUGGUAAGGUAACGGCUUACCAAGGCAACGAUGCAUAGCCGACCUGAGAGGGUGAUCAGCCACACUGGAACUGAGACACGGUCCAGACUCCUACGGGAGGCAGCAGUAGGGAAUCUUCCGCAAUGGGCGAAAGCCUGACGGAGCAACGCCGCGUGUGUGAUGAAGGUCUUCGGAUCGUAAAACUCUGUUAUUAGGGAAGAACAUCUGUGUAAGUAACUGUGCACAUCUUGACGGUACCUAAUCAGAAAGCCACGGCUAACUACGUG
Molecule: ribosomal RNA, 497 nt
Filed under: uncultured bacterium
Lineage: Bacteria
Description: partial 16S ribosomal RNA
Rfam family: Bacterial small subunit ribosomal RNA
Source: RNAcentral